Molecule: ribosomal RNA, 864 nt
Filed under: uncultured archaeon
Lineage: Archaea
Description: SSU rRNA
Rfam family: Archaeal small subunit ribosomal RNA
Source: RNAcentral
AACCAGCACCUCAAGUGGUCAGGAUGAUUAUUGGGCCUAAAGCAUCCGUAGCCGGCUCUGUAAGUUUUCGGUUAAAUCUGUACGCUUAACGUACAGGCUGCCGGGAAUACUGCAGAGCUAGGUAGUGGGAGAGGUAGACGGUACUCGGUAGGAAGGGGUAAAAUCCUUUGAUCUAUUGAUGACCACCUGUGGCGAAGGCGGUCUACCAGAACACGUACGACGGUGAGGGAUGAAAGCUGGGGGAGCAAACCGGAUUAGAUACCCGGGUAGUCCCAGCUGUAAACUAUGCAAACUCAGUGAUGCAUUGGCUUGUGGCCAAUGCAGUGCUGCAGGGAAGCCGUUAAGUUUGCCGCCUGGGAAGUACGUACGCAAGUAUGAAACUUAAAGGAAUUGGCGGGGGAGCACCACAAGGGGUGAAGCCUGCGGUUCAAUUGGAGUCAACGCCAGAAAUCUUACCCGGAGAGACAGCAGAAUGAAGGUCAAGCUGAAGACUUUACCAGACAAGCUGAGAGGUGGUGCAUGGCCGUCGCCAGCUCGUGCCGUGAGAUGUCCUGUUAAGUCAGGUAACGAGCGAGAUCCCUGCCUCUAGUUGCCACCAUUACUCUCAGGAGUAGUGGGGCGAAUUAGCGGGACCGCCGCAGUUAAUGCGGAGGAAGGAAGGGGCCACGGCAGGUCAGUAUGCCCCGAAACUCUGGGGCCACACGCGGGCUGCAAUGGUAACGACAAUGGGUUUCGAAUUCGAAAGGAUGAGGUAAUCCUCAAACGUUACCACAGUUAUGACUGAGGGCUGCAACUCGCCCUCACGAAUAUGGAAUCCCUAGUAACUGCGUGUCACUAUCGCGCGGUGAAUACGUCUCUGCUCCU